GCCUGGGUGGCUCAGUUGGUUGAGCAUCCGACUUCGGCUCAGGUCAUGAUCUCAUGGUUUGUGGGUUCAAACCCCGCGUCAGGCU
RNAcentral lists this transfer RNA (85 nucleotides) under Felis catus (domestic cat). It matches the Rfam family "tRNA". From Rfam's summary of the family: Transfer RNA (tRNA) molecules are approximately 80 nucleotides in length. Their secondary structure includes four short double-helical elements and three loops (D, anti-codon, and T loops). RNAcentral also lists the same sequence under 1 other name. Lineage: Eukaryota; Metazoa; Chordata; Mammalia; Carnivora; Felidae. The record is from Rfam by way of RNAcentral.